Molecule: non-coding RNA, 674 nt
Organism: Artibeus jamaicensis (Jamaican fruit-eating bat)
Lineage: Eukaryota; Metazoa; Chordata; Mammalia; Chiroptera; Phyllostomidae
Source: the annotation of a RefSeq genome assembly
UUGGGGAGGCUCUGCUUCAGCUGUGGGGUCAUAGAAGGCAGGGCUCAGGGAUGGUCUCCACCAUGGUCUGGUCCCCUCUCCUGCUCACCCUCCUGGCUCACUGCACAGGGUCCUGGGCCCAGGCUGUGCUGACUCAGCCGACCUCAGUGUCUGGGAACCCAGGAGAGACCAUCACCAUCUCCUGCACUGGAAGCAGCUCCAACAUCGGGGGUGUUUACUAUGUGUUCUGGCACCAACAGGUCCCAGAAAAACCCCCUAAAACCGUGAUCUAUGAUACCAGCAGCAGACCCUCGGGGAUCCCCGACCGGUUCUCUGGAUCCAAGUCUGGCAGCAUCGGCACCCUGACCAUCACUGGGCUCCAGGCUGAGGACGAGGCCGAUUAUUACUGCUCAGCAUGGGACAGCAGUAUCAGUGCUCUCACAGUGCUGCAGGGCCAUGGGGAAGUGAGACAAAAACCUGCUGUCCCCUGGGGUUGGGGUUUGUGUUCCCAUUCAAGGCACAUGCCUAGGUCAUCAGUUCGAUCCCUGGAUCAGCUGGGCUGGCUGGCUGUUUACUUCCUGGGAGGACUGGGCAGGUGCGUCCUCUGUGGGCAUGUGAGUCCCCUGCACGUGGGCCUGAGUGUGGUUCCAGCAGAUGCUUCCCCCCGACCCACCCACAGGGAAACCAGCACAUGA